Molecule: long non-coding RNA, 1579 nt
Organism: Rosa rugosa (rugosa rose)
Lineage: Eukaryota; Viridiplantae; Streptophyta; Magnoliopsida; Rosales; Rosaceae
Exons: 7
Source: RefSeq, a predicted model, not a curated record
AGCGGCUGGAAUACGCCCUACGUAGGGUGCGCCCUCGUGGGCCCGUCCCGCGUGGCUUGCUCACGUCCACACGAUUUGAAUUACAAGGGCAGUAGUGUAAUUGCAAAGCUAACUUUCGUUAUCAGUAAAAUGGCUGCCGUUAGUGUAGAAAGCCGAGGGUAUUAAUGUAAUAUGCGAAACAAGCGCGUGAGGUACAUAUAUGGGUUUCAGAUUAGGGCUGUUCUCAGUUUUCACGUUCUCACGCACCCUCGACGCCUCCAAACUCCAAACCGAAGUCGACCCAAAAAAACCGUAGAUCUGCAAAUGUUGGUGUUGAAGAUGGAACAGCUAUUGGGCUUGACGAAUGAGCAUGGAAAUCGAGAAGAUUGAUAGAAAAAGGCGAGAUCGUCUAGGGUCGGCCAUUGGCGUCCAUCGGAAGACCUCAGAUCUGCCAUAGCCCCCUUCAAUUUCUAUCUGAUUGUUUGUGUAGCAGACUAGCAGGCAAGGUGACGAUGGCAAUAAGCUAUUGUGGCUGGACAGGGUGACCGGAAGGGUUUGCAUGUCGAUUUCUGCAAAGGCCAUGGCUAUAACAGGGAUUGAGGAUCGGCGAUACUCGAACUGGAUUGCUACUGAAGAAUCAAGGAGUCAAAAAGUGGUAUGAACCAGAAUGGUGGAAGUUUGGUGAUAAAAAAUCGCAAGUUGUACUUCAACUUAUUUCAUCAUUUAAUUGAAAGUAGAUUAUAUCCUGAUCACUUGUAACUUCUUAUCAAAGAAUUAUAAUCAAAUUAUCUGGUGAGUUGUUCUGCUGAGUUCCUAAUAGCCAAUAUUUUCUUAUCAGGUUUAUGUUUUGUCAAUGGCUGAUAGUAUUUUUGAAAUGCAUGUUUAUAAGUUAAACCAUUUUGUGUUGUUUGUUAGAGAGAUUUGUUUUUAGUUUUGUUUUCUUUCUCGUCUCUUCACUAAAACUUGUGUUCAUUUAUUUGUCUACAGCUCCUAUCAUCAUUAGUUUUGUCAAGGAACAAGCACUACAAAAAAAGAAUUUAUGUAAUUGAUAUUUUCACCAUGCUUCAUGUGAGAUGUAUGACAUUUCUCAAGGUCUGGCCAAAUUUGUUUGAAUAAAUAGAGAUAUUCUCCGUAUCAGUGUCGGAUCUUGGUUUAUUGGGCUUGAUGUUAAACAUCUUAAUGACGCCAAGUUUUGCUGCUCCUCUUGGACAGGAGGAGCCAUUUGUGCUGGUGUAUGAUUUGAUUUGCUUUGAGGUGGUGGAUCAAAGUAAAACCAGAUGCAGGGAGAUGGUUUAAAAGACAUUGGAUUCAUAUCGGUGAGAUGUUUGCAGCCUGCACAAUAUAGAGUAUGAAGAUUGAGGAAAAAUCAUAGCUGUGAUUGAGAAUUUAUUCCAAGUGUCUUAACUGUAGGUGAAGUAGCUUUGUUCCCAUUACAGUACACUGCAGAUAGGAAAGAAGGGAUUUGAACAAACUAUGCCUAGAGAGGGCAGUCGGUAUAGCUUUAUAUGUUCAGUAACACAAAUUUUAGUGUAACUGAACACAAAUUUUAGUGUAAUAGAGGGUGUUCUUAUUGCAACAUAAUCACAUUUCUUUUGUAGCA